GUUGUGAUUUCUGCUGAUACAACAAGCAAGGUCAAACUGAUUUAAAGCAUCCCGCUCAUCUGGAGACAAACGGAUGAGAUCAGUAACCACCACCUUCUGCAUCUCCACGUCUGCUGAAUUCAUGGGGUUUGAUUCCAUCAUCCUGGCAGACACUACAAAACAACAACAAAGUUAUGAGAAUAUUGCUAAAAGCAUCAACAUCUAACAAAUGUUCAAUUUUGGACCCAGUUCAAGCUCCUUGAAGAACCUACCUGAUCUCACCUCCGUUGCCAAGAUUUCCAGUCAGGCUUUGCUGGCAGCAGUUGGACUCCAUAACCUCAGCUUCUCCGAGCGAAACCUGUCCACCCUCCAGCGAGCGGCACCACUGGACCAAAUCAGUAAGGAAACAACGAAUCAAAGGUCUGAUCUGUGGAAAGAUCAGUUAUCAAAGUGACCAGGCUUACCAAACUUACUAGACCCGGAAUAACUCCCCUCCGGCGAACCAGCACCUGCAACAAACUCCGAGAGGUUCCAGACCCAGAUCCCACCUCCAUCGGACCUGUGAACAAAUAAACACGUUAAACUUCAUAAUCUCUCUGAGUGUUCUGCAUGUGGGUCAGAUUGGCAAGCAAAAUGACAGAGACUCUCUGAAACCAACUUGAAAACGUACAGGCUUUCUCCAUGACAUUAUAAAUCUGCAAUCAGAUUAUGUAGUAAUGGUAAUUUGAUAAACGAUAUGUAGGAAAAUGUUGCUGUUUUGUGAUAGUAAUAUUGAAAUAAACUAUAUUGCAUUAUAAUUAUUAAAAAACAAAAAUGGUGAAUAUUUGACACAUUUCAUCCAUUUAUUGUUAUUGUGCAUUAAUAUCUGCAUUAUUUCUGUUUAUUGAUAAUAGCAUUAUGCAUUCUUCCCUCCUAUUACAACAGAUAUGAAGGAGUAAAGGACCGGUGUCACACAAAGGACAAGUACAACACAGCCAGAGCCUUGCUGGACCUUCACAAUGUGCAUUAACCAGAAAUUAUUUUAUUGCUUGACCUACCAUGCAACUUAUUAGCAAUAUUACAAAGUUAUGAAAUAUGCUGUUGUACAUGCCAAUUUGUGACAUGUUAGUCUACAGCUAUUGUACAUUUAAUGCAGCUUGUCAAGCUGUUUGUGAUUAGAAAAUAAAGCCUUACAUGUGUU
Girardinichthys multiradiatus is the source of this 1159-nucleotide long non-coding RNA. RefSeq lists it as uncharacterized. The transcript has 4 exons. The record is from RefSeq and is a predicted model, not a curated record. NCBI's taxonomy places the organism in Eukaryota, Metazoa, Chordata, Actinopteri, Cyprinodontiformes, Goodeidae.